UGGAGACUGAGGCCCUCAGAAGGCAAGUUCCUCCCUGAUGCCACACAGGGUGCUUUCACGGCAAUUAACUAAAGAAGCCCCUUCCAGGCAGAGUGCACACUUUGGGAUAUGAUCAACAUGUCCAAGUCCCAUGAGUAAUGGCAGGACCAGGACUCGAACCCAGGCCUGUUUAACCCUGGAGACGGCCCAUGAUUAUUCAGGAGGAGGCUGAGGCCAGGCCUUCUGCUCUCAGUAGGCCUUGAAGCAGAUGAGGAAACAGAGACCCGGAGAGAUACAGUCCUUGGCCAGUCAGCCAAGUUGGAGCAUAGCUUGGACUUUGAACCCAGUCUCCCAGCUCCCAGUCUGCCUGCAGCCCUGUCCCUCUCCACCCCCAAGCCCUGACCAGAAUUCUCUUCUGUACAUCCAGAAGGGCUUUCCCAUUCCUCAGACUCUCUGAGGCAAUUACAGUCCCUACCACUCAUGUGGCCCUUAAUCAUUUACUGCCCUUGCAAACAGCCUGUGGUCAAAAGCAAUAAAGUUCGGACUUGGACAGAUCAGACCUCGUGUGGCUGUUGUUUGUGCACACGGCCCACCUCCUUUACUGACUGGAAGAGCUCAGAGGGCAAGAACCAGGUGGCUAGAGGUUUCCGUGUUCUCCCUGCCCUGCUGCC
This 650-nucleotide long non-coding RNA is filed under the name Homo sapiens (human). Its description in RNAcentral is "HSALNT0240024". Lineage: Eukaryota; Metazoa; Chordata; Mammalia; Primates; Hominidae. The record is from RNAcentral.